This 339-nucleotide unclassified non-coding RNA is filed under the name Hevea brasiliensis (rubber tree). Lineage: Eukaryota; Viridiplantae; Streptophyta; Magnoliopsida; Malpighiales; Euphorbiaceae. The record is from RNAcentral.
GUUAACCAAAAAAAAAAAAAACCUUGGUAAGAGACUAUCUUAUCUUAAAUUCUCUCUAUUUGUAUUUCAAGAACUUCAAAAUAUCAAGUCAGGUGUUGCAUGCUGCAUCUAAUGUCAUAAACAAUAACUAAAAACCAAAUGUAAAGCUCAAAUUGGGAAAAAUAAUUUUAUCAACACAUUUAAAUUAUUUGCCCCUACUCUUUACAGAGAAGUAACAAGUAACUCCAAUUCAUAAAGUUACCCGCAGCAGUAUAAGGAAGAAUAGCUUCAUCUGCUCCUUUUGACAAAAGGAUUAUCUUUCUAUUCUGGCAAUCCCUGACCACAACUGACAUCCUUUUC